GUAGGUGGCAAGCGUUGUCCGGAAUUAUUGGGCGUAAAGCGCGCGCAGGUGGGUUCUUUAAGUCUGAUGUGAAAGCCCCCGGGCUCAACCGGGGAGGGUCAUUGGAAACUGGGGAACUUGAGUGCAGGAGAGGAAAGUGGAAUUCCACGUGUAGCGGUGAAAUGCGUAGAUAUGUGGAGGAACACCAGUGGCGAAGGCGACUUUCUGGCCUGUAACUGACACUGAGGCGCGAAAGCGUGGGGAGCAAACAGGAUAAGAUACCCUGGUAGUCCACGCCGUAAACGAUGAGUGCUAAGUGUUGGGGGGUUUCCGCCCCUCAGUGCUGCAGCUAACGCAUUAAGCACUCCGCCUGGGGAGUACGGUCGCAAGACUG
RNAcentral lists this ribosomal RNA (373 nucleotides) under uncultured organism. RNAcentral describes it as "partial 16S ribosomal RNA". It matches the Rfam family "Bacterial small subunit ribosomal RNA", at positions 527 to 896 of the family's 1533-position model. The record is from RNAcentral.